ACUUCUCCGCCAUAGCCUCCACCAUGGAGGCUCCACGACGAGCUCGGUAAUGACCCCGUUCCCCGCGCAUUCUCGCCCUGCCUAGUUCUAGGGUCUAGGGUCUUAGGUUGUUCAGAUUGUAUUUCGGUCAGUUUGCUGUUGCUCCCUCUCGGACCGAUGGAUUGUUGAUCUGUCCUCGCGCAUCGCAAAAACUGAUUACCGGCGGAUCUCAUCGCCGCCGUGUAUGAGACGAUGCCACACUGAUCCGCCUCACCGUCGCCGUUCUAUAUGGGCUCGCUGUUGUGGUCCGGUAGUGAUGGUGGUGCACAUUGCACAGUCCUCUUACGAUUCUGUAGUUUUAUCAGGGAUUUGCCUACCUGUUUGUUAGCCCUCUGUUGUGAUUAGGCGCUGGUGUUUUGAUAGUAUCUCCAGAAAAAGGCCUUGGUAUUUUUCGUCAGUAUCUCCAGAAAUACCGCAUGCUUCUCAGAUGCGGUAUGAACUUGUGUAUAUAGCAACUAUUAUGUGGGUUGUGUUGAUAUAUUUUCUGUAGUUUAUGUUAAAAUAUAUAUUUUUGCUUAUCCAUCUCUUCUGCUGGCUCUAGUUUCUCUAGAAAUUUAUGUUUCAUUCUCGUUCUUGCUGCUGUUUCCUGGAGCUUCAUUGUUGAAGCAGAUGAUGAGACACAAGUUUCAUGGGUAAUUUGCGUCUGAGGCAUCUCUGUGAUGUCACACCCUUUUCACCUUGGAGAUCUGAUGCAUGCUUGUUAAUGUCCUCCUCUUCCCUUAUUCAUUUUUUCUUAUCUUUGACUCGUUUGGGUGAGAUGAGGAUAUAAUUACAUUGUUGAUGGAUGAUAUGAUGUCCAAUGAAUCAUGUAUUAGCUCUAUCUGAUCAUACCCCAUACUAGUUGUAUUAAGAAAGAAUACUUUGCCGGUUUGUUGAGUUUCUCUUUUUAAAUUUGCUGGUCAGUUUCUUUUUGUUGUUAAAAAUGAGUGUUGUUGAUGCAGAUGAGGAGACAUGAGUUUAUGGGUAAUUUGCGUCUGAGGCAUUUCAGUGAUGUCAUACUCUUUUUCAGCUUGGAGAUCUGAUGCAUCCCCUCACUCACUUCUUUUUUGUUAUUUGUACUUUUCUUUCAAAAAUCUUUUGUUUUAGGUUUUAAUUGGCGAGAGAUGAGAUGAUGAAUGAGAUUAAUUUCCCUAUUGGUUUGAUUGGCUGAUAUGAUGGCCUAAAAUACUGAACCGAGUCUGAUCAUUCUCUUGCUUUCAAGAUUAAGUCCUUGCUUUAUCAUUGUAUCCUCUGCUAUGUUCCAUGCAGACUAAUUUAAUCUAAUCAUUUUCUAAUUUAAUCAGUGGAGGUGAGAUGAUGAAUGAUUAAUUUCCCUAUUGGUUUGAUUGGCCAACAUGAUGGCCUAUAUACUGAACCGAGUCUGAUCAUCAUCCCUGGUUUGAUAAGAAAAAGUAGUGCAUUUUGUUUUUAGCUUUCUUUUUGUUUUGAAAUGCUGCAACUCUGCCUUGUAUAUUGGUGCCAAAAAUGAGUUUGAUUGUUAAUUGCUGUCUUCUUUUGAUGUUCAUUUGAAAUGGUCAGUUUUUUCAAGUUGUUGCUUCUGUUUUUGGAACGAGCAUUGUUGGUGCAGGUGAGGAGACACAAGUUUAUGGGUAAUUUGCGUCUGAGGCAUUUCUAUGAUGUCACACCCUUUUCACCUUGGAGAUCUGAUGCAUCCUUAAUAAUGUUCAUUUAAUUUGACUUUUCCUUUUUUUCAUUUAUUUCUAAUGUCUAGAUAGAUCUUGGCGUAUGCUCAAUCUGACAUUCCAGUUCACUUUCUGUGCUUCAAUUUUUUUUCUUUUUUAUCUAUUAUAAUUCAAGUCCUUGUGGUUCUUCUAUAGUUUUGAGUUGGAACAUUUGGUGGUGCAAUGAUUAUAAAACAUUCCUCGUACUGAUGGGAGAUCCACGUGAACGACUCCUAUACAUACACCCAUAGAAUCCGAGCACCAAUCAUGCUUCUUCUGGAUUCAUUGGAUCCUUGUUUUUUGUGUGUUUAUUUGUCCUGAGGUUUGUUUUACAUUUGGAUCCGUGUUUAUUUGUCUUGAGGUUUGUUUUGCAUUUGGAUUUGAGACUAAGUGUUUAUCUGAAUUUGUUUAAGUUUUAAAUUUGUCACCUUCAGGCUAAUAUUUGAUUGACAUUAGUUGUCUUGUCCUGCUCCAAGAUGCCAAAUUCGUAAAUAAUUCAAUGUUUUAAAUAUUGUGUGAUUUGUUAAGGAUUCUUGGUGCUGUUUGUUCCAAUUGUGCAGUGAUUAAAAAACAUUCCUCGUACUGAUGGGAGAUCCACAUGAAUGACUCCUAUACACCCAUAGAAUCUGAGCACCAGUAAACCAUUUGAUCUCAGUCAAUCUAUUUUUUUCUGAUUCCAUUUUGUUUUGAGGACAGUUAAGGUUGAUAUUUUGUCUUUGUCGUAGCUGGCAUCUUCUUGCCUCCAACCAUUCUUGUAUACCUCUCCAAACUGCUUUCCCCUGUUGAGAUUCUUCAGCUGAUGAUUGGUUUGCUUCUGUAAGUGUUUUUGUUUGUUGGUGGCCAAGGAUUAAACUAAAUUAAUAGACAAGCAUAUGUCUGAAUUUUCUUCAUGGUGCUGAUGAUGAUUAGUGUGAACCUUUCUCAAUGAAAUCACUAGUGAUUACAUAACCUACUGCCUUCCUUCUGAGGCAUCAUGAUUCCUGGUACCCCGUUUCUGUUUUCUUCGUCUUUUUGUUUUUAUGUCUCUUGAAUUGGUGUUUGCCCAGGUCGAGUGAUGAUUACAAGUGCAUAGUUCAUAUGAUCAAAUCAUGAUUACAUGAACAAAAAUAGUCUUUCGCUCCUAUCUGAUGACCUUUCAACCUAAACCUUUUACACGAGAAUCAAAUAAUUUAGUUCAUCUAACCUAACGCUUUUCAUUUGAAAAUCAGUCAAUUUAGUUUCUAUGAUUCCUUUAGAGGACGGUGAAGAUUGAUAUUUGGUCUCGUUCGUCGUAACUGGCAUUUAUUUGCCUUGCCGACCAUCCUGUUAUAUCACCACCCAUAUUCUGAGUCCUCUUAUUACAUUAUAUCUGGGCUUGGCAUGUUAAUUCUUUUUUAUUUGCUUGGAUGUGAGCAGUGAUGAGACAAUUCAAUAAAUAUGAUCUUCCAGGUGUGAUUAUCAAUCGCUACGUUCUUACUGAGCUCAUAUCCUGUUGCUUUUGGGAUUUACUGCUAUUGUUGGCGAUCUGUUAACUGUUUUUGUAAAUUCAGUUUGAUUGCAAAAAUAAAGUUUUAUUGUGUACAAUAGUUACAUUGAUGGUUGCAAAGAUUUUCCAAACCAGUUUGAGGAUGAUGAUUUCAUAUUUGUCGCCCCAGUCUUAGGGUCUGCAUUGUUGGAUCUGUGCUGAUUGACAUACUUCUGAAUCUGACUCGGUAGAUGAUGAUUCAAUAUUUUGCGGCACCCUUAUCCCUCCCAAAUUUGUUUCAGUCAUGUCUUCCAGUUGGUUCUGUUUUGUUUACAUACUUGGUUCUUUUCCUUGGGUGAUGGCAGUGACGAUUUGCAAAUAUUCAAGCUCAACAGACCAAAUCACAGGUUUUCUCUCAGGAGUUGAUUUGUAUGCCGAUUAUCCCGCUGAACCGAGCCAUCCGUACCUAAUUUUUUCUGCCGUUCAUUGUUCUUUUCGUUGUCCUUUUGUGUUUGAUUUUGUUUGUUGUUUUGGGCAACGUAGUUGCGAUGAGGAUAACAAGCUCCCUCUUCUGAAAGCAUUGACGACCUCGCUGGCAGAAUCGAACCAAUUAAAUAUUGCCACCACUGAGCAACUUGAUCUUAAUCUCUUUUUGCUUUGUUGAUCCUUUGCUUCUUCAUAACGUUCCAGUCUAGUGACGAGGUAUUAAUGCAUGAUCCAACACUUGAUCCGAGGAUGGCUUAAGCUGUACAUAUGAUGUCAUCUUUGCAUCUGAAUCCACCAGUGAUAAUUUUGCUGCUGUUUAUUUGGUCAGUAUCAAUGGAUUCCUGUGAAUGAGAAGGCAUUUAUAUUCUGAUAAUAGACCUCGUUUUCCAAAUUAGAUCCAGAAUGCAAUUGAAUCCUACAAUGAUUAGCUUUUAUGUUGAAUUACCGUCAGAUUCCAAACGACGAUAUAUUUGCGGCUUUCUAAGGUUUAAUACUGCUUGGGUCUUUUACUUUUCAUAUUGUAAGCGACAGCUGCUUCUUCUCUGCAAGUGUCCUCCUCAUAACUGUUGUUAAUUGGUCUGGCUGGAAUCCCCAUUUAAACGCCGUUUGGUUCAGCUGGUGUUUCUGGUUUCUUUCUCUUUAAUCUUGAUUACUCUGUUUUUUCCUGCAAGUAUCUAAUUGUCUGUAUGUAAAUGGGUCUGUUGCCAUGUCUCUGUUAGCUAUGAACAUUUGCUAUGCCUUCUGUGUUCCUCUGAUAGUCAAUUUUAAUCAAUCAAUGGGGGAAAUGGUUUGGCGUGUCUGUUAGCUAUGAACAUUUGCUAUGCCUUCUGUGUUCCUGUGAUAGUCAAUUUUAUUCAAUCAACUGGGGAAAUGGUUUGGCAGUGAUGAUAAAUUUAAGGCUUGUUUCUCAAAACAUUCGCAGUUGCCGCCUAAGAGCUUUCGCCCAGCCAGGCUUGAGAGCUAAUGCUGCUAAUUCCUUCCUUGGAUGUCUGAGCCUUGUUAACAUUCCCAUUUUAUCUUUGUUUUGAUUUUAGUUUGUUUCUUUGCUGCUUGUUUCAUUAUAUUGGCUUGUUUCUCAAACAUUCACAGUUGCUGGGUUUUAGCCCAGCCAGAUAUUAUUCUCAAGCUGGAAUCGUCCAUUCUUAAUCCAAAUAUGUGCUUCAUUUAGUUGUUGAUUUUUUUUGAAGUCUUAAUAUGUGAUUCGAAGGUCUUUAGUGAUUGAAAAGCAAUGGUGGAGCCUGGAAGUCUCCUCAACAAUGUUGAACAAGUGUUCAUUGCUGCCUGAAUGUACGGAAAUAGGUUCGGACAGAGCGCGAAUAUGGUGGUUGGUCUACCGCUUGAUAACAGGCAGAUAAUAGUGUUCAUGCUUGCUAGAAGUCUUUGAUCCGACAUCCUGGAUGUUAUGCCUUUUGUGUUACAUGGUUGGGUGAUGUACCCAUGGAAGCAUUGCUAGCUUGCCUAUGCUUAUGCUUUGUAUGCUGUCGCUGUUUUCUGUAGAUGAACUGCGGCGCAUUGCAUGAAGACUGCAUGGCUGGUUAUUUGGCCCUCUGAGGGGUGUAGGUGUAGUUUUUUUUGUUAUGUCUGAGGUCCUUUGUAGUUUUGGUGAACAAAAGAAAAAUGUGUGUAUGUUCUAUUCCAAUGCUAGAAGAAAAUAAAAGCUCUGUUUGAUGCUUGCUCGGGUAAAACCUGUUUAACCAAGUCUUUCAUGUGGUUCGAUUUAAAUUUAAUACUCUUUCAGUCCCUAUAAGGUCGUUUUUCAAGCUAUGUUAGCUUGAUAAACUAUCUUAUAUUGCGGGACGGAGGAGUUGCUUGUAUUCCAAUGAAAGCCUGUUACUCUAUCCUAUAUGAGACACACCUGAAGAAUAUGUUCUCUUGGUUGGCUUACAUUUUCAGAUAACCAGAAGGGAAAUGCUUGUUUUCCCAGCCGCCAAAAAAGCUUCACGAGGAAAUCGCACCUCACAGUAUGUUGGCCACACAGCUACAAGAUAUUUCUCGUCCUAAAUAUGCUGCUAUAUACUUUUUAGAUCACACCUACAACCAGUGGCGGAGCCUCAAAGAAAAAGUUGAGCGGGCCAGGCUACUGAAGAGCACAAUUUUUUUAGGCAUUAGUCACUACCUAACGCUUAAUAUUCUUUUGUUAAGUUUAUUUGAGUGUAUGAAGUUCAUUGAAACAAGGUUUGCUUAACGAGGUACAUGAUGAG
This 5831-nucleotide long non-coding RNA is filed under the name Triticum aestivum (bread wheat). Lineage: Eukaryota; Viridiplantae; Streptophyta; Magnoliopsida; Poales; Poaceae. The record is from RNAcentral.